UGGAUCAGGAUGAAGCAACAUUGAAAUAAAUCCAACACUUGAUCUGAGGCAUUAUCUGUCAUGUGAUGCUAACCUUUGCUUCUGAAUCUUA
This is a small nucleolar RNA of Camellia sinensis, 91 nucleotides long. RefSeq annotates it as small nucleolar RNA snoR31. The record is from RefSeq and is a predicted model, not a curated record. NCBI's taxonomy places the organism in Eukaryota, Viridiplantae, Streptophyta, Magnoliopsida, Ericales, Theaceae.